This 5168-nucleotide unclassified non-coding RNA is filed under the name Limulus polyphemus (Atlantic horseshoe crab). RNAcentral's name for it is "gTP:AMP phosphotransferase AK3, mitochondrial-like, transcript variant X1". Lineage: Eukaryota; Metazoa; Arthropoda; Merostomata; Xiphosura; Limulidae. The record is from RNAcentral.
UUGAAAGAAUCAAAGUGUUAUAGAAUAUCUGUUACUGUGUUAGUAGAGCAUGUCGUUAUUUUUAUUUAGUUGUUAAGCUUUUUCUUGCUUGUUGUUUAUGAAAAUCCCAAUGUAAAUAAGUUAAGCUAUAAGAUUAAAUAUGAUUUCACGUGUAUUCAGGGGUGUAAUUAUGGGUCCACCGGGUUCUGGUAAGGGAACGAUUUCAUCCCGUAUAGCACAAAGCUUUGUGGUUACACAUCUCUCCAGUGGCGACUUGCUUAGAGCACAGAUUCAGGAAGGAACUAUUGCAGGUGUUCAAGCCAGUCAGUAUAUUGAAAAAGGAGAGCUAGUUCCAGAUGAUCUUGUUGUCCAGUUGAUUCUUGCAGAACUACAUACUAGUUUGAAGAAUAAAAACUGGUUGUUGGAUGGAUUUCCGAGUACAGUAUCGCAGGCUAAAACUCUUCAGAAAAACUUCUCCUUAUCGUGUGUUUUGAGCUUAAAUGUACCUGAUGAUGUUAUCAUCGAAAGGGUUAAGAACCGGUGGGUACAUGCAGGAAGUGGCAGGACAUACCACAUACAGUUUAAACCUCCCAAAGUUCCCGGUUUAGAUGAUGUGACAGGAGAACCACUGAUCCAGAGACAAGAUGACAAACCUGAGACGGUUGAAACUAGACUAAGGAACUAUAAGAAACAAUCUACAUCUGUGCUGGAAUUUUAUAGGGAGAGGGGAUUACUGCAGGAGUUCACAGGAAGAGAAUCAAAUGAAAUUUGGCCUCGAGUUCAAGCAUACCUUUCAUCAUUAAUAGAUAAGAAGCAAGACAAAAGUGUUAAAAGACUCAAGAUAACAUAGAAAUGAAUGAGUUUCUAUUUACAGCAUGCUGUUGAAACAAUUCAUAGACUGUCUUUUGGAAGGGGUUUCAUAUUCUUACUGUAUCUCAAGAAAAAGCUUUUUAUAUGUUGUUUCAUACUGUCAUCUGUUAAAAACCUUCCUGUUUAGCCUUUGCCAAAAGUUUUUAAUGUCCAAAUAAUAAUUUUAUUGCUUUCUAAAUCUUUUAUUUAGUAUCCUUCUGAAGGAAUAUUUGUUAAAUUGACAGAAUCUAAUCUGAUGUGUAUACAGAUUUUAUUUUGUGAAGUAUAAAUCAUUUUAUUGACUUUCAUUUAAGAAGUAAUAACUAAAUAAUUCAAAAAUUACCAAAGAUACAGAAUCUGAGUAGAGGAUUUCUUGUAUUGUUUCAUAGCUGAUUGUUUUUCAUAAACUUUAAAUUAAGCCAACUUUUGGAACUUGAGAAGAAGCAAACAGUUUAAAAGCAUUGAAGCAACAAGGGUGUAGCCAAAGUAGAGCCCAUACUGUAACCCAUCAUUUGAUAGAGUAGGGUUAAAUUAUAAUUAGUGAGUUUUGGUGCAAAACCUUUUGAACAUGCAUUUUGUAGCAAAAAAAUAGAAUUAUAUUAUUUUUUAUACCUGAAUAUUCAAGAGAGAGAUAUCUUCAUUAUUUGUAAGGAUUCUAGUAGGUAUUGUUGAAUAUUUGUAGUUUUCUAGCUCCAUGAGCAACUUGUUCAUAAUGAAGGUCAAAUCCAGUGAGUGUUUUCACAGAAUAGUGUGUCUGAAUUUAUCAUCCUAUGAUUCAAUUUAUGGGAAUUAUCAAAAAUAAUUUAUAAAAUAGAUAAUUUCAACACCUCAGCAUAUUGGUUUAGAUUAUGAUGGUUGUACUUUGGUACGUGAAACUAUUACAUUAUACUGUGUGAUUAGAAUUGUUUCUGUAAGAGACUUGCUGUAGGAUUUUCAUAUAGGUUUUUGUUUGUUUGUUUGUUUGUUUGUAGUUAAGUACAAAGCUGCACAAUGGGCUAUCUGUGCUCUGCCCACCACGGGUAUUGAAACCUGGUUUCUAGCAUUGUAAGUCUGCAGACAUACCACUGUGCCACUUGGGGGGGCUAUAUAGGUUUUAUUAGUGUCUAUUUGCUUAUAGUAACUUUUGAAGUUUCUUUAUCAUAAGUAUAGAAUGUUCAUGAAUUGAUAAAGUACUUUUUGAUCUUGUUAAGCUACUAAUGAUGUUGGAUGUGCUGUAAAAAACAUAUACUUUGUUUUUCUUGUGUAUUUUGAUUAUGUUUAUUUUGACUUUGUUAUCUAACUUUCAACAGAAUUAACUGACCUACAAACUGUAUACAUAGAUACUGUAAGGUAACCAAUAUAAAACAUGCUUCCACUAAAUUCAAAAAACUAUUCCUUGAAGAAGUACUUCACACCUUGUCAGCUUAGAAAAGAUAAAGAAAAUCCAUUUUUUCUAAAUCUAAACAGUCCAAAGGAUAGAUAGGUCUACUAAAUUGGAAGUUGUAAUAUUUUCUUCUUGUAAUGUGUAUUUACUGAUCAUAUUGGUGCAGGGAUGACAUCACUAACAUUUAUUGAUGAUAUUGGUGCAAUGGUACCAUUACCAAUGUGUAUUGAUGAUAGAAGUGUCAUUACCAACAUUUAUUGAUAUUAUUGGUGCAGGGGUGAUGGCAUUUUAAAACCUUGCCUAGGGUAAAAAAAAUACCUAAAGCUUUCCCUAGAAGCAUUUAGUGGAGCUCAUUUUAAUGUAACUUUCAUCUGAAAGAUUAGCUGUCAAUGUUUAAAGAACUAUUUUACUUCCAUUCCAGAGUGACUAUCUUCAACUUUUGAAUACUGUGUAUUUUAUAUGAACACAAACCUUUGUGUAAGCUGGUGAUAUUACACGCACUUGUAAAGUAAAUAUAAAAUUAUUUGGGUUUAUAUUCUUAUGAAAAGUCUACCUUGAACACAUGGUGCACUUUAAAGGUAAAUAUAGAGUCACUUGGGUUUAGAUCGUUAUGAAAAGUCUACCUUGAACACAUGGUGCACUUUAAAGGUAAAUAUAGAGUCACUUGAGUGUAGAUCGUAAAGAUAAGUCUACCUUGAACACAUGGUGCGCUUUAAAGGUAAAUAUAGAGUCACUUGAGUGUAGAUCGUAAAGAUAAGUCUACCUUGAACACAUGGUGCGACUUUAAAGGUAAAUAUAGAGUCACUUGAGUGUAGAUCGUAAAGAUAAGUCUAGCUUGAACACAUGGUGCACUUGUAAAGGUAAAUAUAGAGUCACUUGGGUUUAGAUCGUUAUGAAAAGUCUAGCUUGAACACAUGGUGCACUUGUAAAGGUAAAUAUAGAGUCACUUGGGUUUAGAUCGUUAUGAAAAGUCUAGCUUGAACACAUGGUGCACUUUAAAGGUAAAUAUAGAGUCACUUGGGUUUAGAUCGUUAUGAUAGGUCUAGCUUGAACACAUGGUGCACUUGUAAAGGUAAAUAUAGAGUCACUUGGGUUUAGAUCGUUAUGAAAAGUCUAGCUUGAACACAUGGUGCACUUUAAAGGUAAAUAUAGAGUCACUUGGGUGUAGAUCGUAAAGAUAAAUCUACCUUGAACACAUGGUGCACUUUAAAGGUAAAUAUAGAGUCACUUGGGUGUAGAUCGUAAAGAUAAAUCUACCUUGAACACAUGGUGCACUUGUAAAGGUAAAUAUAAAGUCACUUGUGUUGAUAUUGUUAUGAUAAGUCUACCUUAAACACAUGGUCUUUUUCUGAAACAGUGCUCAAUAUCUGUUUGCUUUGAGCUAGAGUAGUUAAGAAAAUACCUUACACAUUGUUGGAAAUUUCUUGUAUUUUCAUCAAAUGGUUUGUGGUAAAAGGUUUCUCUAUAAAAGUAAUAGAUUAAAUGCUGAUCUGAAUGCAGAUAAAAUUAUUUUUUAUAUUGGAAAUUUGUUGUUUUUAUACCAGUUUGACAUAUGGACUUAUACUUUACUUAUUGCAAAAAUUGAAAUUAUGUUUUGUGGUAAUAUAAUUCCAAUAAUUUACUUGUAAAAGCAUGAUGUCUAAUUUAAUGCCAGUCAAAGAAUCAUUAAUUUUUCACUAGUCACUUAUCUAUCUAUUUAUACUGUUUAAAAGCAUGAUGUCUAAUUUAAUAACAUUCAAAGAAUCAUUAAUUUUUAACUAGUCACCUGACUGUUUAUACUGUUUAAAACAUGAUGUCUAAUUUAAUGCCAGUCAAAGAAUCAUUAAUUCUUAAGUAGUCACCUGACUGUUUAAAAGCAUGAUGUCUAAUUUAAUGCCAGUCAAACAAUCAUUAAUUUUUCACUAGUCACCUAUCUAUUUAUUUAUACUGUUUAAAAGCAUGAUGUCUAAUUUAAUAACAUUCAAAGAAUCAUUAAUUUUUAACUAGUCACCUGACUGUUUAUACUGCUUAAAAACAUGAUGUCUAAUUUAAUGCCAGUCAAAGAAUCAUUAAUUUUUCACUAGUCACCUAUCUAUCUAUUUAUACUGUUUAAAAGCAUGAUGUCUAAUUUAAUGCUAGUCAAAGAAUCAUUAAUUUUUCACUAGUCACCUAUCUAUCUAUUUAUACUGUUUAAAAACAUGAUGUCUAAUUUAAUGCCAGUCAAAGAAUCAUUAAUUCUUAAGUAGUCACCCAACUAUUUAUAUUAUUUUAGGCCAGUAAAAAAAUAUUUACUUCUUCACUAAUCACCAAACUGUUUACACUGUUUAGAAAUAUGAUGUCUACUUUAAGGCCAGCAAAAAAAUCUUUAAUUCCUCACUAAUCACCGAACUGUUUAUGCUGCUUUAUUCUGUUAAAAGCACGGGGAACUUUUGUUUCUUGCAAAAUGAAUGUGCACUGUACAAUGAUUAAAACUGAAGACAUUUCAGUUUUAGUAUUACCUGGAUUCUAUCACUGUUUAAUAUAUAACCUUUGAACCUUACAUUUUGCAUGAGGCCAGUGCCUUUCACUAUUUGUUUUACAUUCACACUCAAACAUGGACCAUUAAAAAUAAUUUUAAUGAUUACACACGUAAAAAGGAAUGUAUUCUUUCCUUCUGAACAGUUCAGUUUCUUUUAGGUUCCUUACAGUUUUAUCAUCAAAAUUACUUAUAACAUUGCUAAUGACAGUAGAUUUUCUGUAUGUUCAUGAGUGAUAUGUUUCUUUAUCUUUGCAUGUUGAGUUUUAGAGGUAAAGGGAUAUUGAAAAUAUUUAAAAAGUAUAAGAGGCUUUUAUAGAGAAAGACUAUUAGGACAAUCUGAGAGUAUUAUUUUAGAGUCAAGAAUAAAUUUUACACAGAUAUUUAUGUUUAUAUAAUACAUCUUUAAAUGCAGGUCUCUAUGCUGCUUAUGUAAAGUUGCUUUAAAUGUGGAUUUUUGUGUGUAAAUAAAAGUUUUUUAAA